AAAACGACUCUCGGCAACGGAUAUCUCGGCUCUCGCAUCGAUGAAGAACGCAGCGAAAUGCGAUACUUGGUGUGAAUUGCAGGAUCCCGCGAACCAUCGAGUUUUUGAACGCAAGUUGCGCCCGAAGCCUUUCGGCCGAGGGCACGUCUGCCUGGGUGUCACUC
RNAcentral lists this ribosomal RNA (164 nucleotides) under Euphorbia comosa. RNAcentral's name for it is "5.8S ribosomal RNA". It matches the Rfam family "5.8S ribosomal RNA". Rfam says of the family: 5.8S ribosomal RNA (5.8S rRNA) is a component of the large subunit of the eukaryotic ribosome. It is transcribed by RNA polymerase I as part of the 45S precursor that also contains 18S and 28S rRNA. Functionally, it is thought that 5.8S rRNA may be involved in ribosome translocation. Lineage: Eukaryota; Viridiplantae; Streptophyta; Magnoliopsida; Malpighiales; Euphorbiaceae. The record is from RNAcentral.